This is a non-coding RNA of Photobacterium iliopiscarium, 76 nucleotides long. The record is from Rfam. NCBI's taxonomy places the organism in Bacteria, Pseudomonadati, Pseudomonadota, Gammaproteobacteria, Vibrionales, Vibrionaceae.
UAAUUGAAGAGUUUGAUCAUGGCUCAGAUUGAACGCUGGCGGCAGGCCUAACACAUGCAAGUCGAGCGGUAACAGA